UACGAAGGGGACUAGCGUUGUUCGGAAUCACUGGGCGUAAAGCGCACGUAGGCGGAUUUGUAAGUCAGGGGUGAAAUCCCGGGGCUCAACCUCGGAACUGCCUUUGAUACUGCGAAUCUAGAGUCCGAUAGAGGUGGGUGGAAUUCCUAGUGUAGAGGUGAAAUUCGUAGAUAUUAGGAAGAACACCGGUGGCGAAGGCGGCCCACUGGAUCGGUACUGACGCUGAGGUGCGAAAGCGUGGGGAGCGAACAGG
This 253-nucleotide ribosomal RNA is filed under the name uncultured bacterium. Its description in RNAcentral is "partial 16S ribosomal RNA". It matches the Rfam family "Bacterial small subunit ribosomal RNA", at positions 524 to 776 of the family's 1533-position model. The record is from RNAcentral.